Molecule: ribosomal RNA, 497 nt
Filed under: uncultured bacterium
Lineage: Bacteria
Description: partial 16S ribosomal RNA
Rfam family: Bacterial small subunit ribosomal RNA
Source: RNAcentral
GACGAACGCUGGCGGCGUGCCUAAUACAUGCAAGUUGAGCGAUGAAGAUUGGUGCUUGCACCCAUUUGAAGAGCAGCGAACGGGUGAGUAACGCGUGGGGAAUCUGCCUUUGAGCGGGGGACAACAUUUGGAAACGAAUGCUAAUACCGCAUAACAACUUUAAACAUAAGUUUUAAGUUUGAAAGAUGCAAUUGCAUCACUCAAAGAUGAUCCCGCGUUGUAUUAGCUAGUUGGUGAGGUAAAGGCUCACCAAGGCGAUGAUACAUAGCCGACCUGAGAGGGUGAUCGGACACAUUGGGACUGAGACACGGCCCAAACUCCUACGGGAGGCAGCAGUAGGGAAUCUUCGGCAAUGGACGAAAGUCUGACCGAGCAACGCCGCGUGAGUGAAGAAGGUUUUCGGAUCGUAAAACUCUGUUGGAAGAGAAGAACGUGGGUGAGAGUGGAAAGCUCAUCAAGUGACGGUAACUAACCAGAAAGGGACGGCUAACUACGUG